This 70-nucleotide transfer RNA is filed under the name Aedes aegypti (yellow fever mosquito). It matches the Rfam family "tRNA". From Rfam's summary of the family: Transfer RNA (tRNA) molecules are approximately 80 nucleotides in length. Their secondary structure includes four short double-helical elements and three loops (D, anti-codon, and T loops). Further hydrogen bonds mediate the characteristic L-shaped molecular structure. tRNAs have two regions of fundamental functional importance: the anti-codon, which is responsible for specific mRNA codon recognition, and the 3' end, to which the tRNAs corresponding amino acid is attached (by aminoacyl-tRNA synthetases). tRNAs cope with the degeneracy of the genetic code in two manners: having more than one tRNA (with a specific anti-codon) for a particular amino acid; and 'wobble' base-pairing, i.e. permitting non-standard base-pairing at the 3rd anti-codon position. The record is from Rfam by way of RNAcentral. Lineage: Eukaryota; Metazoa; Arthropoda; Insecta; Diptera; Culicidae.
GCUCGUUAGCUUAGUUGGUAAAGCGCUCGUCUAGCAUACAAGAGUCCUGGGUUCAAAUGCUAGCCGAGCA